RNAcentral lists this small nucleolar RNA (214 nucleotides) under Marmota marmota marmota (Alpine marmot). RNAcentral describes it as "Small nucleolar RNA U3 (ENSMMMG00000005676.1)". It matches the Rfam family "Small nucleolar RNA U3". From Rfam's summary of the family: Small nucleolar RNAs (snoRNAs) are involved in the processing and modification of rRNA in the nucleolus. There are two main classes of snoRNAs: the box C/D class, and the box H/ACA class. The record is from Rfam by way of RNAcentral. Lineage: Eukaryota; Metazoa; Chordata; Mammalia; Rodentia; Sciuridae.
AAGACUAUACUUUCAGAGAUCAUUCCUAUGGUAUGUUACUAGAGAAGUAUCUCUGAUGGUGUAGAGUACUGGAAACCACGAGGAGGAGUUGAGUGUUCUCUCCUGAGCGUGAAGCUGGUUCUAGAUGUUGCAGUACUGCAACUGCCUUUUGCCAUUGAUGAUCAUUCUUAAUUCUCUUUAGAGAUGAAGAGGGACAGAACACAGUCUGAUUGGU